RNAcentral lists this long non-coding RNA (720 nucleotides) under Vulpes vulpes (red fox). Its description in RNAcentral is "lncRNA (ENSVVUG00000027277.1)". The record is from RNAcentral. Lineage: Eukaryota; Metazoa; Chordata; Mammalia; Carnivora; Canidae.
GUCUCCAUGUCCACUCAGGCCAGCGGCCCUGCCUGGCAGGACUGGAGGUGGCCCCGCCUAAAGGAUGUGAGGGUCACCGAGCAGGCCAGGGAGACAGGGACACGCGGGACCAACCUUUCAGCGACCCCUUGGCGGUGCGCGUGCCCGCUGCGAGGUGAGGUCCCGUGCACGCGCUUUCUGCUGGUCCGUGUGCGCCUGCGCAGGAUCCACCGGCCUCCUACCCCUCCUGCCGUUGGUCGGACAACAGCGCCCAACCAGAGUGCUCUGCGUCAAACCCUCCAAAAGGGCCAGUGUGGACGCAGGGACGGAGUCUCCACAGAGCAAUCUCCAGGAGCAGGUACCCAGGACUGCCUGGGAAGGCCCAUGACCCCGCCCAGGCCACGGUCCCUGGUCAUCUUAUGUCGGACUCUGGUCCUAGAGCCGGAGCUCACGGAGACUGACUUCCAGGGUGAGAAGCUGGGGUGGGUGUCUGUGGGUGUCUGGGCAGGGGUGGGUGCUGGGCCCCACAGGGAGGAGCCUCAGAAGCUGAGGUGGGGCCAGAAGCCAAGACGGCUCAGAGCACCCAGCUGGGGGAUGGUUGUCAGGGAGAUGCCUUCGGGGGUCCCUUCCUGGCUGUGGCCCCUCUGGGAGGCUCUGGGCUGGGUCUGUCCUUAUAGGGGCUCACAGGGAGUCAGGCAUGUUGGGGGGGGCCUCUCUCCUCCCACAUGGGACUCCAUCUGA